GAAAAAAUGAAGAAAUAUAGCUUCCUCUUAUCAAAAUGACCUGCAGAAGUUUGAAAAACUCUUCCAUCUCCCCAUCCCAUGGAAGGCAUCUUCAACAGUCCUGUUCCAUUUAUAGACUCUGUAGAAGGAACAGUUCUUAUAACAUGAUGCCAAAAUUAUUCUAGUUCACACACAAACAAGUUGUCCUGUAAUUCUGCUGUGGGCCUCCUCAUAUUAGGAAGAAAUUAAGAAAAAUAUAGUACCACCAGUUUGUUAUGCAACCACUUCGAAAAUGUUUACUUUGCUUAAAAUGUCAUGGCUAAAGAAACUACUCGUCUGCAUAAUCCACUCUUGACAGUGAUUCAUAACUGUGUGACAUUUGGGCUUGGUCAGGCUUUACUCCAGUCAGAUUGAGUCUUUCCUUAAAAAGGGGAUAUAUUUUCAAUUUCAGAGUAUUUACUGCUUCAUGACAAAUAUUAAUAACAAGUCUGUGGCUUCGAGGCCUCAUACCUUUGAGACUACCACAGUCUACUUAGCAUUUUUUUUUUUUUUUACUUAGACCUUUUGAAUUUGCUUUUAAUUUAUACCCCUGGCCUUGUUCUCUUGACCAAAUAAAAGCCCUAAGAGAGCUUCCACUGCCAGCAGCCUUCCAAUUUGCUCUGUUCCCCCUUGGGCCCUGUUGAUUGGGCCCAGUGAUCACCUAAAAAGAGUGCAAAGAGUCAGGAAGGCUUGUGGGUUCAGUCUUUCUGUGCUAACACCAGGCCACAUCCAGGCCUGAUGUACUAACUGAUCUCCAGUUCAUUCCUUUUGCAAUUUUUGGCCUUGAUUCAUAGUUCCUGAUUCUUGAUUGGCUCUGAAAUCCUCCCCAUUUUCAAAAGGGAUGCAGUCAAGCAGGCCAAAGCGCUCCAUGUUAGCUAACAAAUGUUUGCAAAUCAUAAUAAUGUAGGAAGAGAACCAUAAACUAAAUGAACAACAGGCAUUAGCCCUCAUGCUGUCACAUAAGCAUUCCUCAAAAUAUAAUCAUGCUUCUAAACAUGGGCUGGCAAUUCAGGAAAGGGCCACUGAAAAUAUUAGCCUCGUUCUUUUCUCUGUAGAGUGAGCACAGACUAUUCCUAAACCACAUUGCAGUAUGCCAACAUUGUAAAUUAAUGCCUGAUUGGUUACCUAGAAGUAAGACAAUCUUACUUUUAGGCAUCUAGAACACUGAGAAAUCCAGGAUGGACACUUAACACUACCAAAGAUUGAUCUAUUUUGGGUAAGUAUACUUCUGAUCUCUUUUUGAGGACUGUAUUAGUCCAUUUUCACACUGCUAUAAAGAACUGCCUGAGGCUGGGUAAAUUAUAAAGGAAAGAGGUUUCAUUGACUCAGAGUUCUGCAUGGCUGGGGAGGCCUCAGGAAACUUAACAGUUAUGGCAGAAGGCAAGGGAGAAGCAGGUACCUUCUUUACAAGGCGGCAGAAGAGACAGAGAGGGCAGGGGAAACUGCCAUUUUUAAGCUAUCAGAUCUUGUCAGAACUCCGUCACUAUCACGAGAAGAGCAUGAGGGAAACUGCCCCCAUGACCCAAUCACCUCCCACCAUCCCCCGCUCAACACGUGGGGAUGACAAUUCAAGAUGGAAUUGUGUGGGGACACAGAGCCAAACCAUAUCAAGUACCUACAAAAUUAUGGUGACUCUUCACUAAUUUGCAAACUGAUUAUCUGCAAAUCUUAAAUAGGGAAUAAAACACAAAAAUAUCAUUAUCCCUCCAGAACUGAGGACGCAAAUUGGAUUUAGAAGACUUAGCUUUGACACCUAGAUAUGUUUUCAUUGAUUUGACCUAACUUGAUCUCAGUUUCUCUUUUAUAGAGUUAGUUCUUUAGAUCAGAGGUCCCCAACCCCAGGACUGCGGACUGCCACUGGUCUUUGGCCUGUCAGGCACCCGGCCACACAGCUGGAGUGUGAAAAAAAAGGAAAAAACUGAAAAUCUCAAGAGGAUUCCAGGAAAUCAAAACAAUGAAUUAUUGAAUCAAGAAUUUGAAAGAGAAAAUAGAUGCAUACUGAAAAAAGAAUUUUGUUUAGUGAGAUAGAUGUAAUAAUGAAGGCAUGUUGAUAACGGGGGAGCUAUGUAUAUAUGAGGGGAGGGAUAUAUUGGAAAUCUCUGUAUCUUCCUCUCAAUCUUGCUGUGAUCCUAAAACUGCUCUAAAAAAUAUUUUGAGAAGGAAUAAUGAUGUGGUAAACAUGUUCUGUUAUUUAAAAAGAGAGACUUUUCAUAGCCGCCUCCCUCCCCCUCUACACACACACAGAGUCCUGUCCGUCUUCAUUCCCUUACUCAAUAAUUUGUACAGACACAGCCACUGGGCUCCAGUAAUCCUAAAGUUUCUAGAAAAUCAAGCACAGAAAAAGGUUAAAACCCUGAGGGAAUAAAAGAAUUCCUUUGCAUCCAUUGCAUUUCUCAGGAAGUGAACUAACAAAUUCACUGCUUUUAAAUGAGGAAAUUUUCUCAGUGAAAUUGAUUCCAAACCUUCGUUAGGUCAACUGUUCCCAGAUUUCUUAGCUGAUGCCUGAUCUGACUAUUCCUUAUCUUUAGUACAGAAACCAAGGUGAAUGACCUUUAAAAAACAUAUUAGACUGUUGACGUGUCUUCUAUGUUGUACUCUAGGUAAAAACGAUAAACCAGGAAAAAGAAAGUAAAAUUCAACCUUAGGCUCAUGGAUCCAGAGUGGAUAAUUAUGAGUCUGUAGUAUCUACAUGCAUGUGAUGAGGUUCAAGGACAAUAACCAUAAAGCAAAGACUUAAAAGGUUUUAUCAUUAGAAUAAUUGUAAUUCACUUGAUCUCUCAAUGUAACAAUACUUCGGUCUACUGUCUCAAGCCAUUAUUAUGUCUUACACUCAGCAUAUUGGUUUGUCUACCAUUAAAUAUUUAUUUUCUACAGUGCUUUCUGGAAGGCAAACAAAGCAGCCACUCUGCUACUUUAUAUUGAUUCCUGAGUUGUCCUUCGGAAACGCUUUCAGGAAGUUUAAUAGGUUUGAAAGAUAUUUAGACCUGUGACUGGCAAAUAUACUUCCUUCUUUUUAUUUCAAUAAGAGAGUACUAGAACUUAGAUCUUUAUUGUUUAAUCUAGUCAGUGCUGUCAUUGUCAAUCAAGUUCUCAAAUGACACUUGUCCUGAGCUGUAACUGAUCUAUUCAGAAGAAUAUGAAAAUAGUAAAGACGGCAACUAUGCAUGUUUUUACCGGACACGAUUUUAAUUGCUUUAAAAUGAAGUUAUGCAACCAAUGAGGAAUGGAGCUUUUGGAGUGGCCUGAAGCUAAAGGUUUCAGGUGUAUUUUUGCUUUCUUUGAAGAAAGAACCAAAUCAUUUUAUUUAAUAAAAAGGCCAUUUAUCAAGAAUUUCUUAAAGCUGUUUUAAACCUGAGUUUGCAAUUUAUAGAAUAUGUUCAAGCAGCCUCAGUGCCCUUUUAAUUGGAUGGUUUUCACAGAUUUAUCCAAUUUGAGAUUUAUCCAGUGAGAAUUCCCUUUGUUCAAGUAUAUAUGUCUUCUCUUCCAUAAAGCAGAUUCAAAUGAAAGAGUGCAAUCUGAUAUAUCAGACAUGUCAGUUAUACAUUUGAUGUGGUAAAUUUAUAAGAGAGGCCAAUUAUUGUUAUGAAAAAAUACAAUGAAAUACAUGAUAGUCAUUUACUGUUUUUAUAACUAAUCUAAAAGUAUUUACUAAAAAGAAACUAUUUCUUUUCAUAUGUACUUUACUUUUUACUUUAACCCUUCAUAUGUCCUUUAAAUAAAGAGAAGAAAAAAAGUCAUUUAUAUUUAUCCACAUAUUUUCUAUUUCAGGUGGUCCUCAUUCAUUCUUGUAGAUCCAAGUUACCAUCUGUUAUUAUUUUCUUUGUCACCUGAAGAAUUUUCAGAACUAUUUCUUCCUAUAUGUAGCAUGUAUAGAUACUCUAAAAAGUCCAUUAUAUGAUGUAUAAAACAAAGCAUACAAUGUAG
RNAcentral lists this long non-coding RNA (3942 nucleotides) under Homo sapiens (human). RNAcentral's name for it is "non-protein coding lnc-PCM1-4:4". The record is from RNAcentral. Lineage: Eukaryota; Metazoa; Chordata; Mammalia; Primates; Hominidae.